GGGCGUGUAGCUCAGGGGUAGAGCAUUUGACUGCAGAUCAACAGGUCCCGGGUUCAAAUCCGGGUGCCCCCU
RNAcentral lists this transfer RNA (72 nucleotides) under Myotis davidii. It matches the Rfam family "tRNA". From Rfam's summary of the family: Transfer RNA (tRNA) molecules are approximately 80 nucleotides in length. Lineage: Eukaryota; Metazoa; Chordata; Mammalia; Chiroptera; Vespertilionidae. The record is from Rfam by way of RNAcentral.